AUAACGGUGUCUUUAGACACCACCUUUGUCUUCAAAAAAACAUUC
Picea glauca (white spruce) is the source of this 45-nucleotide non-coding RNA. NCBI's taxonomy places the organism in Eukaryota, Viridiplantae, Streptophyta, Pinopsida, Pinales, Pinaceae. The record is from Rfam.